UACGAAGGGGGCUAGCGUUGUUCGGAAUUACUGGGCGUAAAGCGCGCGCAGGCGGUUUUUCAAGUCAGUGGUGAAAGCCCAGAGCUCCACUCUGGAACUGCCAUUGAAACUGUUAAACUAGAGGACGAGAGAGGUGAGUGGAAUUCCCAGUGUAGAGGUGAAAUUCGUAGAUAUUGGGAAGAACACCAGUGGCGAAGGCGGCUGACUGGACAAGUAUUGACGCUGAGGUGCGAAAGCGUGGGGAGCAAACAGG
Molecule: ribosomal RNA, 253 nt
Filed under: uncultured bacterium
Lineage: Bacteria
Description: partial 16S ribosomal RNA
Rfam family: Bacterial small subunit ribosomal RNA
Source: RNAcentral